This 659-nucleotide long non-coding RNA is filed under the name Struthio camelus australis. RNAcentral's name for it is "lncRNA (ENSSCUG00000018744.1)". Lineage: Eukaryota; Metazoa; Chordata; Aves; Struthioniformes; Struthionidae. The record is from RNAcentral.
GGGGGCCCCACGCCACUUGCAGUUUUGGGAGCUUGGCUGGGGAUUUUCGGAGGAACCGGGUCUCCAGGCGCUUUCAGGGAGCUGCAGAAGUUGUUCUGGCUCCUACUGAGUUAUUUACUGUCCGGGAAGAGCAAUUCCGGGCACAAUGUCCUGCUGCCUCUGCUCCGACCUGCUCAGCUGCAUAGGAUGAUGUGAAACUGAGUGUUAAUGAUACCCCCAAAAGAAAAAGAGGAUUUCCUCUAAAAAAAAAGAGACACCGCAAGGACUUUGGUACUGAAUUAUACAAGCUGGUGAAGAAAAAAGGAAGUCCUGCUGCAGCAGUAGGUCAGCGUCAUAGAUGGGUAUGCUUUUUUCGGUCUCGGUGAUCAUACAUUAAUUUGGAGUGUGACUGUGGUGGUGUAAGCCUUAUCAUUAUGUGAUUAUUUUACCAGGGCACCUGUGAAACCAUAAACCAGGACCUUGUUGUGUUCAGGGAUGUGCAGAGAAUAAAGAACGAAUGCCCACCCGUGCCAAGCAAACCCAACUCAUGAUGCUUGGGUCUUCUUGUGAUUCCUUUAAAGGCUGGGAUCCUCAGGGCCAUCUCUGUCCCAGGGAUCCCCUGGGAUCCUCAGGGACAUCUCUGCACUAGGACUUGCAGUGAGUCCAGGCACCAGCAGCAG